This 440-nucleotide ribosomal RNA is filed under the name uncultured bacterium. Its description in RNAcentral is "partial 16S ribosomal RNA". It matches the Rfam family "Bacterial small subunit ribosomal RNA", at positions 338 to 795 of the family's 1533-position model. The record is from RNAcentral.
GCUACGGGAGGCAGCAGUGGGGAAUAUUGCACAAUGGGGGGAACCCUGAUGCAGCGACGCCGCGUGAGUGAAGAAGUAUUUCGGUAUGUAAAGCUCUAUCAGCGGGGAAGAAAAUGACGGUACCUGACUAAGAAGCCCCGGCUAACUACGUGCCAGCAGCCGCGGUAAUACGUAGGGGGCAAGCGUGCACCGGAUUUACUGGGUGUAAAGGGAGCGUAGACGGCUCGGCAAGCCAGAUGUGAAGGCCCGGGGCUCAACCCCGGAACUGCAUUUGGUACUGUGUGGCUGGAGUGUCGUAGAGGCAGGCGGAAUUCCUAGUGUAGCGGUGAAAUGCGUAGAGAUUAGGAGGAACACCAGUGGCGAAGGCGGCCUGCUGGACGAUGACUGACGUUGAGGCUCGAAAGCGUGGGGAGCAAACAGGAUUAGAUACCCCAGUAGUC